This 266-nucleotide unclassified non-coding RNA is filed under the name Chorda filum. RNAcentral describes it as "ITS2". The record is from RNAcentral. Lineage: Eukaryota; Phaeophyceae; Laminariales; Chordaceae.
GACACCACUCGCCGCCCCCCCCCCGUUGCUCGCGCGACGGGAGGUUGCGCGCGGACUCUGCGUGUUCCGGGACGGACGUCCCGAUUUCACGGAACUUCGUGAACCAAACUUCUACUGGGCUUGCUGCACAAAGUUGUUGACGGCGUCCGCUUCGGCGGCGACUUUUGACUCGUUUAUUGCUCCAGGUCUAUCGGUAGGGGUGAUUCCCGUUGCUGCGCCCCCGCCACUUGUUAAAGUUGCCCGGAGGUCCCCCCCAACUACUUUCG